CAGCCGCCACGGGAAUACGUAGGGGGCAAGCGUUAUCCGGAAUAACUGGGCGUAAAGGGUGCGCAGGUGGUUUAACAAGUUAGUGGUGAAAGGCAUAGGCUCAACCAAUGUAAGCCAUUAAAACUGUUUAACUUGAGUGCAGGAGAGGAAAGUGGAAUUCCUAGUGUAGCGGUGAAAUGCGUAGAUAUUAGGAGGAAUACCAGUGGCGAAGGCGACUUUCUGGACUGCAACUGACACUGAGGCACGAAAGCGUGGGGAGCAAACAGGAUUAGAUACCCCGGUAGUCCCUGUCUCUUAUACC
RNAcentral lists this ribosomal RNA (301 nucleotides) under uncultured bacterium. Its description in RNAcentral is "partial 16S ribosomal RNA". It matches the Rfam family "Bacterial small subunit ribosomal RNA", at positions 509 to 808 of the family's 1533-position model. The record is from RNAcentral.